CCUACGGGUGGCAGCAGUGAGGAAUAUUGGUCAAUGGCCGUAAGGCUGAACCAGCCAAGUCGCGUGAAGGAAGAAGGAUCUAUGGUUUGUAAACUUCUUUUAUAGGGGAGCAAAGCGAGUCACGUGUGACUCAUUGAGAGUACCCGAAGAAAAAGCAUCGGCUAACUCCGUGCCAGCAGCCGCGGUAAUACGGAGGAUGCGAGCGUUAUCCGGAUUUAUUGGGUUUAAAGGGUGCGCAGGCGGAGGUGCAAGUCAGCGGUAAAAUUGCGGGGCUCAACCCCGUACUGCCGUUGAAACUGCAUCCCUUGAGUGCGCGAGAAGUAUGCGGAAUGCGUGGUGUAGCGGUGAAAUGCAUAGAUAUCACGCAGAACUCCGAUUGCGAAGGCAGCAUACCGGCGCGCAACUGACGCUCAUGCACGAAAGCGUGGGUAUCGAACAGGAUUAGAUACCCUUGUAGUC
Molecule: ribosomal RNA, 459 nt
Filed under: uncultured bacterium
Lineage: Bacteria
Description: partial 16S ribosomal RNA
Rfam family: Bacterial small subunit ribosomal RNA
Source: RNAcentral